Molecule: ribosomal RNA, 374 nt
Filed under: uncultured organism
Description: partial 16S ribosomal RNA
Rfam family: Bacterial small subunit ribosomal RNA
Source: RNAcentral
GAACCGCCCAAACGUUAUUCGGAAUCACUGGGCUUAAAGGGUGCGUAGGGCGGUCCGGUAAGUUGGGGUGUGAAAGCCCUCGGGCUCAACCGAGGAACUGCGCCCAAUACUGCCGGGCUUGAGGGAGAUAGGGGUGAGCGGAACUUAGGGUGGAGCGGUGAAAUGCGUUGAUAUCCUAAGGAACACCGAUGGCGAAAGCAGCUCACUGGAUCUCUUCUGACGCUGAGGCACGAAAGCCAGGGGAGCGAACGGGAUUAGAUACCCCGGUAGUCCUGGCUGUAAACGAUGAGCACUAGGUUGGAGACCCCCCCAUAGGUUUCCGACUGGAGCGAAAGUGUUAAGUGCUCCGCCUGGGGAGUAUGGUCGCAAGGCUG